Molecule: small RNA, 530 nt
Filed under: Pan troglodytes (chimpanzee)
Lineage: Eukaryota; Metazoa; Chordata; Mammalia; Primates; Hominidae
Description: processed transcript
Source: RNAcentral
ACUAGAAAGACAAUGUCUUUUGCAUAACAAUUUAAUCCAUCCAUUCAUUUACUGGUGAAUAUUCAUAUUCUGGAGGUAGAAAUUUCAGUAUUUACACAUUGGUGGAAAUAGGAAAUGUAGAUGAGCCCCAGGAUAGUGACAACCUCUGGUGGGACGCCUUUGCCACUGAAUUUUUUGAAGAUGACGCCACAUUAACCCUUUCAUUUUGUUUGGAAGAUGGACCAAAGCGAUACACUAUCGGCAGGACCCUCAUCCCCCGUUACUUUAGCACUGUGUUUGAAGGAGGGGUGACCGACCUGUAUUACAUUCUCAAACACUCGAAAGAGUCAUACCACAACUCAUCCAUCACGGUGGACUGCGACCAGUGUACCAUGGUCACCCAGCACGGGAAGCCCAUGUUUACCAAGGUAUGUACAGAAGGCAGACUGAUCUUGGAGUUCACCUUUGAUGAUCUCAUGAGAAUAAAAACAUGGCACUUUACCAUUAGACAAUACCGAGAGUUAGUCCCGAGAAGCAUCCUAGCCAUGCAU